This 387-nucleotide ribosomal RNA is filed under the name uncultured bacterium. RNAcentral describes it as "bacterial SSU rRNA". It matches the Rfam family "Bacterial small subunit ribosomal RNA", at positions 28 to 417 of the family's 1533-position model. The record is from RNAcentral.
GACGAACGCUGGCGGCGUGCUUAACACAUGCAAGUCGAGCGGUAGGGCCCUUUCGGGGGUACACGAGCGGCGAACGGGUGAGUAACACGUGGGUGACCUGCCCUUAGCUCUGGGAUAAGCCUGGGAAACUGGGUCUAAUACCGGAUAUGACUCCAUGACGCAUGUUGUGGGGUGGAAAGCCUUGUGCGGCUAGGGAUGGGCCCGCGGCCUAUCAGCUUGUUGGUGGGGUGAUGGCCACCAAGGCGACGACGGGUAGCCGGCCUGAGGGGGCGACCGGCCACACUGGGACUGAGACACGGCCCAGACUCCUACGGGAGGCAGCAGUGGGGAAUCUUGCGCAAUGGGCGAAAGCCUGACGCAGCGACGCCGCGUGAGGGAUGACGGCCU